RNAcentral lists this ribosomal RNA (126 nucleotides) under Mus pahari (shrew mouse). RNAcentral describes it as "rRNA (MGP_PahariEiJ_G0032701.1)". The record is from RNAcentral. Lineage: Eukaryota; Metazoa; Chordata; Mammalia; Rodentia; Muridae.
UUCUACAGCCGUACCACCCUGAGCAGCCUCAUCUCCUCUGUUCUGAGACGCUAAGCAGAGUCACUACUGGCCUGAGUAGUACUGAGAUAGAAGGCCAGGGCCCUGCAACCCAGGCUUCUCUAGUGC